This 133-nucleotide non-coding RNA is filed under the name Candidatus Howiella intestinavium. Its description in RNAcentral is "FMN riboswitch (RFN element)". It matches the Rfam family "FMN riboswitch aptamer (RFN element)". From Rfam's summary of the family: The RFN element is a highly conserved domain that is found frequently in the 5'-untranslated regions of prokaryotic mRNAs that encode for flavin mononucleotide (FMN) biosynthesis and transport proteins. Lineage: Bacteria; Bacillati; Bacillota; Clostridia. The record is from RNAcentral.
UGUCUUCGGGGCGGGGUGCAAUUCCCCACCGGCGGUAAUCCGGCCUUGGCCGGCGAGCCCGCGACCUGUGUAUUGCACAGCUGAUUCCGGUGUGAUUCCGGAGCCGACGGUUACAGUCCGGAUGGAAGAAGGC